UUGGGGCAUCACCAGCUUUGUAAUCGACUUGUCCAUACAAAGCCAUGCUGUUCUCAACCAUUCACACACUUUGUGCCUCAUUUAAUAUGCUUGUUGCAAAGGAGGGUGAUGAGAAAUGGAAGCCUAUGACUGAUGAAGCCACUCUAAUAAGGGUUCAUGUUGUUCAAAACUUCAAAUCCAAUUGAGGCAAUCCAUGAACCAUUAGAAGCUGGGCUGAAACUUGCUCGAUAAGAGAUUGCUAAUCUGUAGGAUGAUAAUAAAGCAUUAGAUCGACUGAUAGUGUGAAACCAAUUGAUGUCUAUUAAUUAUAGACUGUUUUGAUCAGGAAAACAAUUUUCGUUAGGGUUUCAAAGUAGUAGUAACCAGCAAGAGAGAGGUUAUAUGGUAAGGUAGUUGGGCGACAAGAAGGGUUACGAGAGGUUUGACUGUCAUGACACAAUGGUCAAUUGUCACAUUGAAGGUUGAACUGGGUAUCUGCUAAGCAAAACUAACUGUUAAGCCUGUGGCGUAAGCUAGAAUUGGCACUGUGGCUUCUGGAGUUACAAAGGGUAAUGCUUAUACAUACAGGUACUCGAUUUAGUUCUGUCAAUGGGUGGGUUGGUAAGUAAAAAAUCCAUUACUGAUGGUUUGGUUCACGGUUUGAUGUAAAAUCGUCAUAAACUAGCCCGUGAACAUCCCUAUCAUAUAUAUAUGUUCUUAAUUUGUAUAUUAUUAACAAUAACAUUAAAUAACCUUUUAUGGAAAUUAGUAAUAAUUUUUUUUAUCCUAGAUUAAUUUAAUUGUUAUCAAAUGAGAUGGCAUAGUUAUAACUUUUUUUUUUGCCUAGAUUGAUUUAAUUGUUAUCAAAUGAGAUGGCACUCUAUAUGUUGGUAAACUGUGAAGAAACGAGGUGAAAUCAAGAGUAAUGGGAGAUUCAAGCUACACAAGCACGAUUGACUGUUUUAUUAAGACUUAAAAAAUGACUUAAGUUGUUAUCUUUGGUUUGUAUAAAGAAGUAAAUGAAAAUUUUGGUGUAAAUCAAAUUAGAUGUACCAACACUUGAAUAGUAUGCGUCUUUUUAUUAUAUAAAACACGUGUGU
RNAcentral lists this long non-coding RNA (1079 nucleotides) under Helianthus annuus (common sunflower). Lineage: Eukaryota; Viridiplantae; Streptophyta; Magnoliopsida; Asterales; Asteraceae. The record is from RNAcentral.